Molecule: ribosomal RNA, 397 nt
Filed under: uncultured bacterium
Lineage: Bacteria
Description: partial 16S ribosomal RNA
Rfam family: Bacterial small subunit ribosomal RNA
Source: RNAcentral
AUACGUAGGGGGCAGGCGUUAUCCGGAUUUACUGGGUGUAAAGGGAGCGUAGACGGUUUGGCAAGUCUGAUGUGAAAGCCCGGGGCUCAACCGCGGGACUGCAUUGGAAACUGUCAGACUUGAGUGCAGGAGAGGUAAGUGGAAUUCCUAGUGUAGCGGUGAAAUGCGUAGAUAUUAGGAGGAACACCGGUGGCGAAGGCGGCUUACUGGACUGUAACGGACGUUGAGGCUCGAAAGCGUGGGGAGCAAACAGGAUUAGAUACCCUGGUAGUCCACGCUGUAAACGAUGAAUACUAGGUGUUGGGAGACAAUAGUUUCUCGGUGCCGCAGCAAACGCAAUAAGUAUUCCACCUGGGGAGUACGUUCGCAAGAAUGAAACUCAAAGGAAUUGACGGGG